RNAcentral lists this ribosomal RNA (398 nucleotides) under uncultured bacterium. RNAcentral's name for it is "partial 16S ribosomal RNA". It matches the Rfam family "Bacterial small subunit ribosomal RNA", at positions 523 to 918 of the family's 1533-position model. The record is from RNAcentral.
AUACGUAGGGUGCGAGCGUUGUCCGGAAUUACUGGGCGUAAAGAGCUCGUAGGUGGUUUGUCGCGUCGUCUGUGAAAUUCCGGGGCUUAACUCCGGGCGUGCAGGCGAUACGGGCAUAACUUGAGUACUGUAGGGGAGACUGGAAUUCCUGGUGUAGCGGUGAAAUGCGCAGAUAUCAGGAGGAACACCGGUGGCGAAGGCGGGUCUCUGGGCAGUAGCUGACGCUGAGGAGCGAAAGCAUGGGUAGCGAACAGGAUUAGAUACCCUGGUAGUCCAUGCCGUAAACGGUGGGCGCUAGGUGUAGGGGUCUUCCACGACUUCUGUGCCGUAGCUAACGCAUUAAGCGCCCCGCCUGGGGAGUACGGCCGCAAGGCUAAAACUCAAAUGAAUUGACGGGG